AUUGAACGCUGCGGCAGGCUUAACACAUGCAAGUCGAGCGAGCGGCCGACGGGUGAGUAAUGCUUAGGAAUCUGACUAUUAGUUGGGGACAACAUCUCGAAAGGGACGCUAAUACCUCAUACUUAUAGAUGAGUCUCGUCGGAUUAGCUAGUUGGUGGGGUAAAGGCCUACCAAGGCGACGAUCUGUAGCGGGUCUGAGAGGAUGAUCCGCCACACUGGGACUGAGACACGGCCCAGACUCCUACGGGAGGCAGCAGUGGGGAAUAUGGACAAUGGGGGGAACCCUGAUCCAGCCAUGCCGCGUGUGUGAAGAAGGCCUUAUGGUUGUAAAGCACUUUAAGCGAGGAGGCGUUACCGACAGAAGAAGCACCGGCUAACUCCGUGCCAGCAGCCGCGGUAAUUC
RNAcentral lists this ribosomal RNA (403 nucleotides) under uncultured bacterium. RNAcentral's name for it is "partial 16S ribosomal RNA". It matches the Rfam family "Bacterial small subunit ribosomal RNA", at positions 30 to 526 of the family's 1533-position model. The record is from RNAcentral.